GGGGGUGACUGGAUUUGACGACAAGCCGAAAUGGUACGCAAGCAUGUGGAGUGAAGACUGUGUUCUCUUAAAUCAAGUCGGUCGAAAAAUUAAUUGGCAACAAUGAGUAUGCUCUCGCUGCCUAAUCGAAGUAUAGUAGAUUAAGAGCUUAAUUCCGUCACAAGGUGACAGAACGAGACGUCGCUCCGAGGAUGUUGUUCCGAAUCCAGAGAUUAAGCGGCGCAGGUUAAAUCGGAAAUAAUCAGAUUGAGCCUCGACAAUCUGGUGAAUAAUUAGAGGAUAAGGAUGCAGUUGGUGGCUCAGGUCUUGCUGCAUCACAAAAACAAAGGCUGAGAUAAGCAUGUAGAAAACGUAUGGUUUCCUUGUGCGGACCGGAGUUCGAUUCUCCGCACUUCCACC
RNAcentral lists this transfer-messenger RNA (399 nucleotides) under uncultured Prevotella sp. It matches the Rfam family "transfer-messenger RNA". Rfam says of the family: Bacterial tmRNA, also known as 10Sa RNA or SsrA, is named for its dual tRNA and mRNA-like properties. Lineage: Bacteria; Pseudomonadati; Bacteroidota; Bacteroidia; Bacteroidales; Prevotellaceae. The record is from RNAcentral.